GACGAACGCUGGCGGCGUGCUUAACACAUGCAAGUCGAGCGGAAAGGCCCUUCGGGGUACUCGAGCGGCGAACGGGUGAGUAACACGUGAGUAACCUGCCCCAGACAUUGGGAUAACCCUCGGAAACGGGGGCUAAUACCGGAUACGACACAGCUUCGCAUGGGGUCUGUGUGGAAAGUUUUUCGGUUUGGGAUGGGCUCGCGGCCUAUCAGCUUGUUGGUGGGGUGAUGGCCUACCAAGGCGACGACGGGUAGCCGGCCUGAGAGGGCGACCGGCCACACUGGGACUGAGACACGGCCCAGACUCCUACGGGAGGCAGCAGUGGGGAAUAUUGCACAAUGGGCGGAAGCCUGAUGCAGCGACGCCGCGUGAGGGAUGACGGCCUUCGGGUUGUAAACCUCUUUCAGCAGGGACGAAGCGUAAGUGACGGUACCUGCAGAAGAAGCGCCGGCCAACUACGU
Molecule: ribosomal RNA, 461 nt
Filed under: uncultured bacterium
Lineage: Bacteria
Description: partial 16S ribosomal RNA
Rfam family: Bacterial small subunit ribosomal RNA
Source: RNAcentral